UUAAUAAAUACACAUCAGCAAUAUAGCACUGAGGACUUACCUCGGAACUUUUUAUAAAUAAUGCCUGGUGUCCCUAUGAUGAAUAACAUGACGUCUCACAAAUACUGGUCAUGGAUCGGCGUUUUUACCGUGUCGAUUCUGUUCUGGAGUCAGCUCAUCUGGCUAGCCCUCCACUAAAUUGUAAAACCUCGCUACGGCGGGGUUUUUUGUUUUC
This 214-nucleotide small RNA is filed under the name Enterobacter asburiae. RNAcentral describes it as "sRNA STnc180". It matches the Rfam family "Enterobacterial sRNA STnc180". The record is from RNAcentral. Lineage: Bacteria; Pseudomonadati; Pseudomonadota; Gammaproteobacteria; Enterobacterales; Enterobacteriaceae.